Molecule: ribosomal RNA, 267 nt
Filed under: uncultured Bacteroidota bacterium
Lineage: Bacteria; Pseudomonadati; Bacteroidota
Description: uncultured Bacteroidetes bacterium partial 16S ribosomal RNA
Rfam family: Bacterial small subunit ribosomal RNA
Source: RNAcentral
GUCCAUCAGGUCAUGCUGGGGACUCUAACAAAACUGCCGCGUAAGCGUGGAGGAAGGUGGGGAUGACGUCAAAUCAGCACGGCCCUUACGUCCAGGGCUACACACGUGCUACAAUGGCCGGUACAGAGGGCAGCCACUUGGUGACAAGGAGCAAAAUCUCAAAAGCCGGUCUCAGUUCGGAUCGGAGUCUGCAACUCGACUCCGUGAAGUUGGAUUCGCUAGUAAUCGUAGAUCAGCAAUGCUACGGUGAAUACGUUCCCGGGCCUU